GAUGAACGCUGGCGGAGUGCCUAACACAUGCAAGUCGAGCGGCAGCGCGAGUAGUUUACUACUUGGCGGCGAGCGGCGGACGGCUGAGUAACGCGUGGGAACAUGCCCCAAAGUGAGGAAUAACUGCCCGAAAGGGUAGCUAAUGCCGCAUACGAUCUUCGGAUUAAAGGAUUUAUCCGCUUUGGGAGUGGCCUGCGUACGAUUAGAUAGUUGGUGAGGUAAUGGCUCACCAAGUCUACGAUCGUUAACUGGUUUGAGAGGAUGAUCAGUCAGACUGGAACUGAGACACGGUCCAGACUCCUACGGGAGGCAGCAGUGAGGAAUCUUCCACAAUGGACGAAAGUCUGAUGGAGCAACUCCGCGUGCAGGAUGAAGGCCUUCGGUCGUAAACUGCUUUAUGAGUGAAGAAUAUGACGGUAACUCAUGAAUAAGGGUACGGCUAACUACGUGCCAGCAG
RNAcentral lists this ribosomal RNA (457 nucleotides) under uncultured bacterium. Its description in RNAcentral is "bacterial SSU rRNA". It matches the Rfam family "Bacterial small subunit ribosomal RNA", at positions 28 to 514 of the family's 1533-position model. The record is from RNAcentral.